This 409-nucleotide long non-coding RNA is filed under the name Populus trichocarpa (black cottonwood). RNAcentral describes it as "long non-coding RNA (PTRI_LNC000056)". Lineage: Eukaryota; Viridiplantae; Streptophyta; Magnoliopsida; Malpighiales; Salicaceae. The record is from RNAcentral.
AAUCUUGAAGGGAUGGAGAUGGGUUAUUCGUGGUGGUGGUUUUUAAGGACCUAGUAAUCAUAUAAGCAAGAACUUCACGGUCUUCAAGUGAAAGAACAGAAGCUAGAGCAAGAAUGGCAGCAGGUAAAAGCUUUAACACAGAAAGAACAUCUCUAUCUCCAUUAUCACCAACAGACGAAGAAGAAGAUGAUGGAGAAGGAUAAACUUUACCUUUGUUCUUUAUCUUCAUUUUUCUUUUCUUGGUCUCUUUUGGAAUUUGGUUUGAUUUUUUUUCUCUCUUUCUAGGUGGAGUGACUGGUGGGCAUAGGUGAAUUUUUUUUUUUCUGGUGAUAUUUGGUGAGGAGAGAGAGAGAGUAGGGUUUGUGUUGUUUUGACUUGAAAACCAAGGAAGAGAAAGGUACUGCGUGAG